RNAcentral lists this ribosomal RNA (1686 nucleotides) under Dactyloptena peterseni (starry flying gurnard). RNAcentral's name for it is "16S rRNA". The stretch from base 95 to 1604 matches the Rfam family "Bacterial large subunit ribosomal RNA". The record is from RNAcentral. Lineage: Eukaryota; Metazoa; Chordata; Actinopteri; Syngnathiformes; Dactylopteridae.
CGCCCCCCAGCUAGCCCACAUCUAAAAGCAACAACCCACCAUUAAUACCCCCUCAUCACCCACAAAUCAAUAAACAAAUCAUUUUUCCACCUAAGUAUGGGCGACAGAAAAGGAACUUCGGAGCGAUAGAGAAAGUACCGCAAGGGAAUGCUGAAAAAGAAAUGAAAUAACUCAUUACAAGCCCUAAAAAGCAGAGAUUAUUACUCGUACCUUUUGCAUCAUGAUUUAGCCAGUACCCCUCUAGCAAAAAGAACUUUAGUUAGAGCCCCCGAAACCAAGUGAGCUACUCCAAGGCAGCCUAGCAAUAGGGCCAACCCGUCUCUGUAGCAAAAGAGUGGGAAGAACUUCGAGUAGAGGUGACAGACCUACCGAACUUGGUUAUAGCUGGUUGCCUGAGAAAUGAAUAGAAGUUCAGCCCCAUAGCCACCCUGUCUCACUUCAGCUUACUCAUAUUGACACAAGAAGAAACUAUGGGAGUUACUCAGAGGGGGUACAGCUCCUCUGACAAAAGACACAACUUUCCCGGGAGGGUAAAGAUCAUAAUUCUCAAGGUAAAGUAUUACGUAGGCUUAAAAGCAGCCAUCCAUAGUAAAAGCGUUCAAGCUUAAACUCACCCUUCGCUUAUAAUCCGGAUAAAUAUAUCUCAACCCCCCAACAUUACCGGGCCGCCCCAUACAAAUAUGGGAGUGAUCCUGCUAAUAUGAGUAAUAAGAGAAAUAACACUCUCUCCUAGCACAUGUGUAAAUCGGAACGAACUCACACCGAACUUUAACGGCCCCAAACACAGAGGGCAAUGAACAAAAAACAGAAAACCAGAAAUUCACCCAACAAUACACCGUUAAUCCCACACUGGUGUGCCAACAAGGAAAGAUUGAAAGAAAGAGAAGGAACUCGGCAAACACCAAAGCCUCGCCUGUUUACCAAAAACAUCGCCUCUUGCAAAUUUAAAGAAUAAGAGGUCCUGCCUGCCCUGUGACUAUAAGUUUAACGGCCGCGGUAUAAUGACCGUGCGAAGGUAGCGUAAUCACUAGUCUUUUAAAUGAAGACCCGUAUGAAUGGCUUAACGAGGGCUUAACUGUCUCCUCUUUCAAAUCAAUGAAAUUGAUCUCCCCGUGCAGAAGCGGGGAUAUGCCCAUAAGACGAGAAGACCCUGUGGAGCUUUAGACACAAGACAAAAUCACGUUCAGCACUUCAACACAAAGAAUAAAACUCUGUGAGCACACUUGCCUAAAUGUCUUUGGUUGGGGCGACCGCGGGGCAAUAAACAACCCCCAAGAGGACAGGGAGUAAACUCCUACACCCAAGAGCCACAGCUCUAAUUAACAGAACUUCUGACCACACGAUCCGGCAAUGCCGAUCAACGGACCGAGUUACCCCAGGGAUAACAGCGCAAUCCCCUUUUAGAGACCCUAUCGACAAGGGGGUUUACGACCUCGAUGUUGGAUCAGGACAUCCUAUUGGCGCAGCCGUCAUUAAGGGUUCGUUUGUUCAACGAUUAAUAGUCCUACGUGAUCUGAGUUCAGACCGGAGUAAUCCAGGUCAGUUUCUAUCUAUGAAGUGUUCUUUUCUAGUACGAAAGGACCGUAAAGAAGAGGCCCAUACCCCCCGCACGCCUCCCCCUUAGUUAAUGAUGUAAUCUAAAUUAAACAAAAGGACACCCCCCCCCCCGGCCGAAGACAACGGUAG